UUUUCGACGUUUUUCGACUUU
Molecule: non-coding RNA, 21 nt
Filed under: Caenorhabditis elegans
Lineage: Eukaryota; Metazoa; Nematoda; Chromadorea; Rhabditida; Rhabditidae
Source: RNAcentral